GGUUAGGGUUAGGGUUUUCGGAUAAGGGUUAAUAUCACUGUCCAAAAACCUUUGAGGAACAUGUUUCAAACCUUUUGGAGUAAGUUAGACCAAAAAAAAAAAAAAAACGAAAAAAAAAUGUUUGGGGUGUUAGGGCUUCUUUUCUGUUAUACCCGGGUAUUGGUUUAAAGGUCCUGGGUUUGGGUUUGGGGGUUAGGAUUAAAAUCAAUCUGCCAGACGUUUUUUAGGAGCAUGUUUCAGACCUUUUGAGCGUGAAUUUGCGGGGUUACUUAUAGAAGUGGAUGUGUGUGUGUGUGUGUGUGUGUGUGUGUGUGGGGGGGGUGGGGGGGGGGCUUAAGGGUGGGAGUGCAGGGGCCCAAUUGAGGGCUGGGUAAAUGGGGUGUGCAGGGGCCAGAGGGAGGGCUGGGUUUCAAAGGUGUUCAGGGGCCUGAGGAAGAUCCUGGGGCCGGGGAGGGGGUUGCUGGAGAACAGGGUAUUGGGUGACAGGGCUAGGGUUAGGGUAAAAAAUCACUGUCCUAGACCUUUUUAGGAACAUGUUUCAAACCUUUAUGAGUUCGUUAGAACAAACAAAAGAGGAUAAAUGUCAAUCUUUUUUUGGGGGGUGUCAGGGCUUCCUUUCUGUAACACCUGGGUAUUGGGUUACAGUGCUAAGGUUAGGAUUAUAGGGUCAGGGUUAAAAUCACUGACCAGAACCUUUAUAGGAGCAUGUUUCAGACCUUUUUGAGUAAGUUUGAACAAAAAAACGGAAAAAUGUCAAAAAAAAUUGGGGGGGGGGUUUAGGGCUUCCUUUAUGUAACACCCGGGUAUUGGGUUACGGCGCUAGGGUAAGGUUUAAGGUUUUUGGGGUUAGGGUUAAAAUCACUGACCAGGGGCCUCAUUUAUAAAGCUUGCUUACGCACAAAACCUGGCUAGAAAUUGCGUACGCCACUUCUUACGCAAGAGUUGGGAUUUAUAAAAGAAAAACUAGUGUAGGAAUGUGCGCAACUUUAAGCAAACUCCACACCUUGCUUACGCACUUUUUGGAGACAAUCGGAGCAAGGUGAGAAUAGUCGGGGUGAUGCGUUCAGCACAACGGAUGACUCAAAGCAGCCUUUCUGUCCUGAGAGCUGCAGCUGCCGUACCAGGCAGUGAUGCUCGCAGAAAGCGCAGACCCCACUGUGGCGGUGUAGAUAGUUUGCCAAUUUGAAUUUACAAAUGUGCAAAAAAACAAAUUCCAUUUACAUGCAUUUGUUUUAAGUUUAUAUGACUAAAUCUUUUUGGUUUACGAACUUUCACCACAUAAGCAGCGGUGGAUAACGGAGCGGUUUUUUUUUUUAACACAUGCACGAGUGUCACACGUGCAUGUUUUUUCUGAUUCUCACCUGUCGCCGCCACGCUCUGAUGGUGCAAAGCCACUUUUUUCUUUGCCUCCACCUUUAGAUCAGACCACUUCUUCUUGAUUUCGGCACAGUGUUGUUUUCGUCUACGUCAUCGUCAACGAAAACAAAACUCCACGUGUUUGCGCGCGCGUGCGUGUGUGUCUGUGUGUUGGAGGAGCACAGCAGACUGAUGAGAGCUGUCAGAGCGGACAGAAGCUGCUCCUAUAUGUUUAGCGUUUAACUGACUGAGUUUUGCAACUCUGGUCGUCAUUUUCGUCUCGUCCCAUCAACGUAAAAGCACUUUCGUCUUGUCACAUUUUAGUCAUCUCCGACUUAUGUUUAGCUCGUCAACGUUACGUCUUCGUCGUGGAAGAAAAGGGAAAUAUUUCCGUCAACAAAAACAACCAGUGUUGUUCUCGUUGAUGAAAAUAUUUCCUUUUGACGCUGGUGUUGACAAAAAUAUUCGACGAAAUAUGACGAAAACAACACUGUAAUUCGGCAACGCUGCGCUCAGUGCCAGCCGCAAUUGCCACCACGGCAACGGCGUUUUUAUUGGUGAUGCCACUCGAAUGGCCGCCGAAUAAGGUCUCCCGUCUCGCCGCCACCUCAUUUACAAGAACCUCCACCUCGAUCUCUGAAAAGUUUCUUUUUCUACGACUUGCUGAUGCCAUGGUUAAGCGUGAAAUGCCGUGGAUCCACCAGGCUUAUUUACAUGCAAAUCACAUUCAUGAGGUAAUUUGCAUGACCAUACAUGGUGAAUUUUGGGUGUGGAGAGGGCGGGGAAGAAUCAAAUCCCUGCUGAGCAACUUUCCAGCUGGUCUGUGAUUUAUAAAGGGAAAGUGCGUGCAGGUGUGCGUAGGCAGGGUUUUAUAAAUCAGAUUUUUUUUUUGCCUACGCACUUUUCAGCUUUUCAACUUACGUACACUUUUAGUAUGGAUUCUACGCCAGGUUUUAUAAAUGAGGCCCCUGGACCUUUAUUGGAGCAUGUUUCAGACCUUUUUGAGUAAGUUUGAACAAAAAAAAAGGAAAAAUGUCAUUUUUUUAAAUGUUAAGGCUUCCUUUUAGUAACACCCGGGUAUUGGGUUUACAGGGCUAAGGUUAGGGAUCUGGAGUUAGGGUUAAAAUCACUGUCCUAGAGCUUCUUAGGAGGAUGUUUCAGACAUUUUGGAGUAAGUCAAAGCAAAAAAAAAAAUUUUAAAUUGUCAAAAAUAUUUUCUAGGGGUGUUAGGGUUUCCUUUAGGUAAUAACCGGGUAUUGGGUUACGGGGAUAGGGUAAGGUUUAAGGUUUUUGGGGUUAGGGUUAAAAUCACUGUCCAAAAACCUUUGAGGAACAUGUUUCAAACCUUUUUGAGUUUGAUAGAACAAAAUGAAAAGAAAAAUGCCAAAUAAUUUUUCUUGGUGUUAGGGCUUCCUUUAAGUAACACCCAGAUCUUGGGUUACAGGGCUAGGGUUGGAAUUAUAGGGUCAGGGUUAAAAUCACUGACCAGGACCUUUAUAGGAGCAUGUUUCAGACCUUUUUGAGCAAGAUUGAACAAAAAAACAGAAAAAUGUCAAAAAAAUUUUGGGGGGUUUUUAGGGCUUCCUUUAUGUAACAUCCGGGUAUUGGGUUUCGGUGCUAGGGUAAGGUUUAAGGUUUUUGGGGUUAGGGUUAAAAUCACUGUCCAAGACCUUUUAGGGAACAUGUUUCAGAUCUUUUGGAAUUAGGUAGACCAAAAAAAGACAACAAAGAAUGUCAAAAAAAUGUUUGGGGUGUUAGGGCUUCCUUUAUGUAAUACCUGGGUAUUGGGUUACGGGGCUAGGGUUGGGUUUAAGGUUUGGGAUAAGGGUUAAAAUCACUGUCCAAGACCUUUUUAGGAGUACGUUUCAGACCUUUUGGAGUUAGUUAGACCAAAAAAAAAAAGAAAAAUGUCAAAAAAAAUGUUUGGGGUGUAAGGGCUUCCUUUAGGUAUUACUUGGAUAUUGGGUUAAGGGGCUAGGGUUGGGUUUAGGGUUUUGGGAUUAGGGUUAAAAUCACUGUCCAAAAACCUUUGAGGAACAUGUUUCAAACCUUUUGGAGUUUGUUAAAACAACAAAAAAGAAAAAUGUCUGUUUUUUUUGGUGUAAGGGCUUCCUUUAAGUAGCACCCAGAUAUUGGGUUACAGGGCUUAGGUUAGAAGGUUUAAGGUUUUUGGGGUAAAGGUUAAAAUCCCUGACCAGGACCUUUAUAGGAGCAUGUUUCAAACAUUUUGGAGUAAGUUAAAACAAAAAAAAGGAAAAAUGUCAAAAAAAAUUGUGAGGGGGGGGGGGGUUUAGGGCUUCCUUUAGGUAAUACCCAGGUAUUGGGUUACAGGGCUAGGGUAUUGGGUUAUGAGUCUAGGGUAAGGUUUGAGGUUUUUGGGGUUAGGGUUAAAAUCACUGUCCAAGACCUUUUUAGGAACAUGUUUCAGACCUUUUGGAGUUAGUUAGACCAAAAAAACUGAAAAAUGUCAAAAAAAAAAAUGUUUGGGGUGUUAGGGCUUCCUUUAGGUAAUACCCGGGUAUUGGGUUAAGGGGCUAGGGUUAGGUUUAGGGUUUUGGGAUUAGGGUUAAAAUCACUGUCUUAGAACUUUUGAGGAACAAGUUUCAAAACUUUUGGAGUUUGUUAGAACAAAAAAAAGGAAAAUUUUCAAAACAAAAUAUUUGGGGUGUUGGGGCUUCCUUUUAGGGUUUUGGGAUAAGGGUUAAAAUCACCGUCCCAGAACCUUUGAGGAACAUGUAUCAAACCUUUUGGAGUUUGUUAGUAAGGUGAAAGUGAUAUGCAAUUGCCAUUUCUUUUGUGUCAACAAACUAUUGUCAACAUGACAUGAGAUGGUAAUAUUUCAAACACAGAUUACCUACAUGCCGAAAUUACUAUCUAUCUAUCUAUCUAUCUAUCUAUCUAUCUAUCUAUCUAUCUAUCUAUCUAUCUAUCUAUCUAUCUAUCUAUCUGUACCCUAGUUAUGUUACUUCAUGACUGCAUGUUAAAGAAUGAAACAAGGCAAAGUUGAGAAAACUUUUUAUAACAAAUAUUUAUAACAACAAUAAUAUAAUAAUAAUAAUAUUUAUAAUUAAAAUAUAAUAAUAAUAUAAUUAUAAUAUUUAUAACAACAAUAAUAUAGUAAUGAUAAUAAUAAUAAUAAUAAUAUAUUUAUAAUAUUUAUAACAACAAUUUAUAACAACAAAAAAUCAAACAAAUUUUACAAAGGCUGCAACAGCAGAUAUUAAUAAUAUAAUAAAAUUUAUUUUAAAACUAUAUACAAAUGUACAAAGGAGCCUGGCUUGUUCCCCCCCGAGGCUGUCACCCCAGCUAAGGUUCCACUGCUUCCAAAUUUAAGGUGAAAUCUUGUGCUUCAUAAAUUAAUUUGUAUAUUUGAAAUUUAACAUGUUCUUUAGCCUGGGGUGAGAGCCUCGCGAGAGAAGGAACCAGGCUCAAGAGGAACAGUUCGUCCGCUGAUGAGCGAGAUGCGGGUGGUGGUGGUGGUGGUGGUGCAUUGUGUUGCCUCAGCAGGGCCUGAAAGAGGAGCUCCUCAAUCUCCUCCAACCUUGAGGUGGGAGGCGUCAUCCUCUUCCUCCCUGUCAUAAAAAAAAAACUAAUCGGUUACUAUUUGUUUUAUGAUUUCUAUGUGAAUUUGACCUUGAGCAAUUUUGUUGUAUAUAUGGUUAAUAUUUCUUUUCAAUACCUUUUGGACUGGCUGCAGUGGCGCCCGAGGCAUCACUCGGUGGAGCAGGUGAGGGAGCAGGAGAAGAGGGGACUCAUGGUUUAAUUUUAAUUUUAAAAUUUAUUUGCUAUCUUUUUCACUCAUCAACCAACAGUCCAUGCUCCACUCCUGAGGGGUCUUCUUCCUCCAGCUCUUCAGGCAUCCCAGCAGAAGAAGCAGCAUUUUCUGCUGUGACAUCUUCCUCGACCUCCCGAGACAUGUCGCUGGUAGUCUCCCUCAGGGCAAUAAAGGGGUCGAGGAAGGACAUCACCGCAGAGAAACGCCAGAAACGCUGGGAGGCCGCUGGCCCAUCUUCCUUCUCCCUCCUUUUCUCCCUCAUGUAAACAUCCCACAGCCCCUUCCAGCGCUUGCGGCACAUAUCCACUGCAAAGACACACACACACACACGUUGAAACAUGUAGCCUAGCAAGCAGGGGCAGUAUGCUAUGUUUUCAGAAAAUAGUCUGCUCACUGAAAUAAAUAAACAAACAAGCUUACCAGAAAGCCCAACAUCAUGGGCCACCUUCACCCAUGCUUCCUCCUUGGAGGUGCGGUCCCGGUAGAACCCGCACCCCACGUCGUACAGCACUGGGUGAUAGCUAACGGCAGUGAUGAGCUGCUCCUCCAUUGUGUGAAUCUUCUUCUCCUCCUCCUUUCUUUGCCGGUUUGUUGACGUCAGCAGAGCCCUGAUUGACUGUCGUGGCACGGAGUUGUGGAAAGUCGUGACUUAGGUUAGGGUUAGGGUUUUGCGAUUAGGGUUAAAUCUCUGUCCAGGACCUUUUUAGGAACAUGUUUCAAACCUUUUGGAGUUCAUUAGAACAAAAACAAAGGAAAAUGUCAAUCUUUUUUUGGGGGGGGGGUGUCAGGGCUUCCUUUCUGUAACACCCGUGUAUUGGGUUACAGUGCUAAGGUUAGGAUUAUAGGGUCAUGGUUAAAAUCACUGACCAGGACCUUUAUAGGAGCAUGUUUAAGGGUUAAUGGGGUGUGCAGGGGCCAGGGGAGGGCUGGGUUUCAAAGGUGUUCAGGGGCCUGAGGAAGAUCCUGGGAAAGAGGGGGUUGCUGGAGAAAAGGGUAUUGGGUGACAGGGCUAGGGUUAGGGUUAUAGGGUUAGGGUAAAAAAUCACUGUCCAGGACCUUAUUAGGAGCAUGUUUCAAACCCUUAUGAGUACGUUAGAACAAAAAAAAGAGGAAAAAUGUCAAUCUUGUUUUAGAGUGUGUCAGGGCUUUCUUUCUGUAACACCUAGGUAUUGGGUAACAGUGCCAAGGUAAGGGUUAUAGGGUCAGGGUUAAAAUCACUGACCAGGACGUUUAUAGGAGCAUGUCUCAGACCUUUUGGAGUUCGUUAGAACAAAAAAAAAUUUUUGUUGUUAGGGCUUCCUUUAAGUAACACCCGGGUAUUGGGUUACAGGGCUCGGUUCAGGGUUAGGGUUAAAAUCACUGUCCAGGACCUUUUUAGGAGCAUGUUUCAGACCUUUUGGAGUUCGAUAGAACAAAAAAAAUUUUUUGUUGUUAGGGCUUCCUUUAAGUAACACCCGGGUAUUGGGUUACAAGGCUAAGGUUAGGGACAGUGGGGGUUCUAGACUAAUUGACCCCCCCCCCCCCCCC
RNAcentral lists this long non-coding RNA (6658 nucleotides) under Xyrichtys novacula (pearly razorfish). The record is from RNAcentral. Lineage: Eukaryota; Metazoa; Chordata; Actinopteri; Labriformes; Labridae.